RNAcentral lists this ribosomal RNA (502 nucleotides) under uncultured bacterium. Its description in RNAcentral is "bacterial SSU rRNA". It matches the Rfam family "Bacterial small subunit ribosomal RNA", at positions 28 to 545 of the family's 1533-position model. The record is from RNAcentral.
GAUGAACGCUGGCGGCGUGCUUAACACAUGCAAGUCGAACGAUGAUCCCAGCUUGCUGGGGGAUUAGUGGCGAACGGGUGAGUAACACGUGAGUAACCUGCCCUUGACUCUGGGAUAAGCCUGGGAAACUGGGUCUAAUACCGGAUAUGACUCCUCAUCGCAUGGUGGGGGGUGGAAAGCUUUUGUGGUUUUGGAUGGACUCGCGGCCUAUCAGCUUGUUGGUGGGGUAAUGGCCUACCAAGGCGACGACGGGUAGCCGGCCUGAGAGGGUGACCGGCCACACUGGGACUGAGACACGGCCCUGACUCCUACGGGAGGCAGCAGUGGGGAAUAUUGCACAAUGGGCGCAAGCCUGAUGCAGCGACGCCGCGUGAGGGAUGACGGCCUUCGGGUUGUAAACCUCUUUCAGUAGGGAAGAAGCGUAAGUGACGGUACCUGCAGAAGAAGCGCCGGCUAACUACGUGCCAGCAGCCGCGGUAAUACGUAGGGCGCAAGCGUUAUC